This 241-nucleotide ribosomal RNA is filed under the name uncultured bacterium. Its description in RNAcentral is "partial 16S ribosomal RNA". It matches the Rfam family "Bacterial small subunit ribosomal RNA", at positions 15 to 244 of the family's 1533-position model. The record is from RNAcentral.
GAUCCUGGCUCAGGACGAACGCUGGCGGCGUGCCUAAUACAUGCAAGUCGAGCGAAGUUUUUCUGGUGCUUGCACCGGAAAACUUAGCGGCGAACGGGUGAGUAACACGUAAAGAACCUGCCUCAUAGACUGGGACAACUAUUGGAAACGAUAGCUAAUACCGGAUAACAGCAUUAACUCCAUGGUUGAUGUUUAAAAGUUGGUUAUGCUAACACUAUGAGAUGGCUUUGCGGUGCAUUAG